GACGAACGCUGGCGGCGUGCUUAACACAUGCAAGUCGAGCGGUAAGGCCCUUCGGGGUACACGAGCGGGGAACGGGUGAGUAACACGUGAGUAAUCUGCCCAUCACUUAGGUAUAACUCCGGGAAACCGGUGCUAAUACCGCACAUGACCACUACAGGCAUCAGAUGGGGGUGGAAAGUUCCGGCGGAGUUGGAUAGGCUCGCGGACUAUCAGCUAGUUGGUGGGGUAGUGGCCUAAGAAGCCUUCGACGGGUAGCCGACCUGAGAGGGUGACCGGCCACACGGGUACUGAGAGACGGCCCAGUCGCCUACGGUAGGCAGCGGUCGGGAAUAUGGGACAAUGGGCGCGAGCCUGAGCCAGCAACGCCGCGUGUGGGAUGACGGUCUUCGGGUUGUAAACCGCUUUCAGCAGGGACGAAGCGGAAGUGACGGUACCUACAGAAGAAGCACCGGCUAACUACGUG
This 463-nucleotide ribosomal RNA is filed under the name uncultured bacterium. RNAcentral describes it as "partial 16S ribosomal RNA". It matches the Rfam family "Bacterial small subunit ribosomal RNA", at positions 28 to 507 of the family's 1533-position model. The record is from RNAcentral.